RNAcentral lists this ribosomal RNA (305 nucleotides) under uncultured bacterium. RNAcentral describes it as "bacterial SSU rRNA". It matches the Rfam family "Bacterial small subunit ribosomal RNA", at positions 335 to 632 of the family's 1533-position model. The record is from RNAcentral.
GGGCCUACGGGACGCAGCAGUGGGGAAUAUUGCACAAUGGGGGGAACCCUGACGCAGCGACGCCGCGUGAGGGAUGCAGGUCUUCGGAUCGUAAACCUCUGUCAGCAGGGAAGAACGGUCACUGUGCUAAUCAGCAGUGAAUUGACGGUACCUGCAAAGGAAGCACCGGCUAACUCCGUGCCAGCAGCCGCGGUAAUACGGAGGGUGCGAGCGUUAAUCGGAAUUACUGGGCGUAAAGCGCUCGUAGGCGGUAUGUCAAGUCAAGGGUGAAAUCCCCGCGCUCAACGUGGGAACUGCCUUUGAAA